GUAAGUAUGGUGACAUACUCAGCUGACCGGUACUAAUCGGCCGAAAGCUUGGUCA
Molecule: ribosomal RNA, 55 nt
Filed under: Eubacterium pyruvativorans
Lineage: Bacteria; Bacillati; Bacillota; Clostridia; Eubacteriales; Eubacteriaceae
Description: 23S rRNA. Bacterial LSU
Source: RNAcentral